AUUGAACGCUGGCGGCAGGCCUAACACAUGCAAGUCGAGCGAGCGGCGGACGGGUGAGUAAUGUCUGGGGAACUGCCUGAUGGCGGGGGAUAACUACUGGAAACGGUAGCUAAUACCGCAUACCAUCAGAUGUGCCCAGAUGGGAUUAGCUAGUAGGUGGGGUAAUGGCUCACCUAGGCGACGAUCCCUAGCUGGUCUGAGAGGAUGACCAGCCAAACUGGGACUGAGACACGGCCCAGACUCCUACGGGAGGCAGCAGUGGGGAAUAUUGCACAAUGGGCGCAAGCCUGAUGCAGCCAUGCCGCGUGUAUGAAGAAGGCCUUCGGGUUGUAAAGUACUUUCAGCGGGGAGGCGUUACUCGCAGAAGAAGCACCGGCUAACUCCGUGCCAGCAGCCGCGGUAAUUC
This 406-nucleotide ribosomal RNA is filed under the name uncultured bacterium. RNAcentral's name for it is "partial 16S ribosomal RNA". It matches the Rfam family "Bacterial small subunit ribosomal RNA", at positions 30 to 526 of the family's 1533-position model. The record is from RNAcentral.